GGGGUUGUGGCUCAGUGGUAGAGCACUCACCUUGCAUGUAUGAGGCACUGAGUUCAUUUCUCAGCACCA
RNAcentral lists this transfer RNA (69 nucleotides) under Urocitellus parryii (Arctic ground squirrel). RNAcentral describes it as "Spermophilus parryii (Arctic ground squirrel) tRNA". It matches the Rfam family "tRNA". Rfam says of the family: Transfer RNA (tRNA) molecules are approximately 80 nucleotides in length. Their secondary structure includes four short double-helical elements and three loops (D, anti-codon, and T loops). Further hydrogen bonds mediate the characteristic L-shaped molecular structure. tRNAs have two regions of fundamental functional importance: the anti-codon, which is responsible for specific mRNA codon recognition, and the 3' end, to which the tRNAs corresponding amino acid is attached (by aminoacyl-tRNA synthetases). tRNAs cope with the degeneracy of the genetic code in two manners: having more than one tRNA (with a specific anti-codon) for a particular amino acid; and 'wobble' base-pairing, i.e. permitting non-standard base-pairing at the 3rd anti-codon position. The record is from Rfam by way of RNAcentral. RNAcentral also lists the same sequence under 2 other names. Lineage: Eukaryota; Metazoa; Chordata; Mammalia; Rodentia; Sciuridae.